Long non-coding RNA from Nothoprocta perdicaria, 649 nucleotides. RefSeq lists it as uncharacterized. The transcript is spliced from 3 exons. Lineage: Eukaryota; Metazoa; Chordata; Aves; Tinamiformes; Tinamidae. The record is from RefSeq and is a predicted model, not a curated record.
AGUGUUCUGAGCAGGCCCUGGGGAGAUGGAGGAAGGAAGAGUUGUGCAUGAAUAAACAGGUGAAAGCUUGGUUUCCGAAGCCUUCAGAAGAAGGUGCCUGCUUCAAACCAGGCAUGUGGGAGAUACAAACACAUCUAUAUGCAAGACACGCCCAAUCAUAAGAGUUUGUUUUCAGACUGUAAUAGCAGUGAUGCUGGUUUGGUAAAAUAAAAAAACUAGAUAUGCUGGAAARUGGAGUGAUCUCUUUGCUGAAGACAGACAUCCUUGUGGUGCCAACGCACAUGGGCUGAAUGAAGACUGCUGUGCUCACGUGGUCAAGGGGCUGAGUCCGCACCUGCGUGCAAGGGGCUCCACYGCUCACCCUGUACUUACUGCCUUCGCRUGGGAAGGAGGCUGUACAGCGUCAGCCCGGGGUGGGCGCGUGCGCAUUGUGCCCCGAAGCACCGACUGCAGCCAUCCUGUAGCCACGAGAAGUCCUGUGAUGGUUGAGGCCCACAAAUGCGCACUGCCACUGUUGUGCUCUGUGCUGAAUAUUGCAGAGCUACCCCAGACUGGAGACGUCAUCUUAAGAUCCUAGAAACGGCCAGUGUGGACUGGACAGUAACAUUUUUCUUGCGCCCUGUUGGGAAGGAGCUGCUUGCCUCAUUCC